UUUGCAUUAAUUUUCAAGCUUACAGAUUGAUAGAUACUGCCAUGAGCUGAACUGAACCAUACAUUUCAUGAGGAUAAAGCAUGAAUAGUCCCCUGUCAAUCAGGUUUUGAUCUUACACAUCAAGCCAUUUUGAUGAGAUGAUGUCUACCUCCGGUGACGAUCAAAGAAGAGCAGCCCUGAGUCGUGACAGCAUUUGAAGUAACUCUGUGCAAGAAAGAAGGUUUCAAGUAGUAAAUGUGCCACAAAUUAGUUGUGCUUUUUUUUCCAAAUCAAUUUCUAAUGGGGUUUUUUUUCCAGAUUCUUUGAGGCGCUGAGCGAAAUGUGGAAUCUGAGGCACCAAUGCAAGAAAUAUUCUCAGAGGUCUGAUUGUUAUAUACUUUUUUCCAACUCUUGCUCUACACAAAGGUCCGAAUGAUCGUCUCUGCUUUCGGAUGUCAACAUUUCUCCACACAAAGACUCAUAACGCUGGGAUGUGAGCGGUUUGCUGAUUGGAAUGAAACUUAUGGGCAGCUCAAAAGUGAAGCUAUUGCUCAUGGACUUCAAUGCCUAAUCCCCGUUAGCAGCAAAAGCGAAUAAUUCAUGUUAGCUGAGUCGCUGAAGUGAACUACUAACUACGUAUUUGUUAGCCAACUAUGUACCAGACGACAAGGUAACAAUCCAUGCUUGAUGCUUCAAAUACUGCAGAGGAAUCCACAGGAGUACUAAGGAAAGCUGAAAGUGAAUACAAAGGCCACCGCUCAUUGCUAA
Molecule: long non-coding RNA, 747 nt
Organism: Rhododendron vialii
Lineage: Eukaryota; Viridiplantae; Streptophyta; Magnoliopsida; Ericales; Ericaceae
Exons: 3
Source: RefSeq, a predicted model, not a curated record